Molecule: ribosomal RNA, 247 nt
Filed under: uncultured bacterium
Lineage: Bacteria
Description: partial 16S ribosomal RNA
Rfam family: Bacterial small subunit ribosomal RNA
Source: RNAcentral
UACGUAGGCAGCGAGCGUUGUUCGGAAUUACUGGGCGUAAAGAGUGUGUAGGCGGUGCUCUAAGUUCGGUGUGAAAUCCUCCCGCUUAACUGGGAGGGUGCGCCGGAAACUGGAGUGCUCGAGCGUGGGAGAGGAAAGCGGAAUUCCUGGUGUAGCGGUGAAAUGCGUAGAUAUCAGGAAGAACACCUAUGGCGAAGGCAGCUCUCUGGGACGGUACUGACGCUGAGACGCGAAGACGUGGGAGGCG